This 28-nucleotide small RNA is filed under the name Bombyx mori (domestic silkworm). Its description in RNAcentral is "ovarian small RNA-6403". Lineage: Eukaryota; Metazoa; Arthropoda; Insecta; Lepidoptera; Bombycidae. The record is from RNAcentral.
UAGGACCCAGUACGAUUGUCGGCACUCU